This 717-nucleotide long non-coding RNA is filed under the name Phasianus colchicus (ring-necked pheasant). RNAcentral's name for it is "lncRNA (ENSPCLG00000008281.1)". The record is from RNAcentral. Lineage: Eukaryota; Metazoa; Chordata; Aves; Galliformes; Phasianidae.
GCUUAGCACAGGGGAGGUGGUCCUGACCUCCCCUAGCCAGACAGCUUGUGGUGUGGGGCUUCUUGUUAGCUCAUCACUGGGUUCAUCGCUGGGUCACUGGGGGGUCUCACUGGUGUUUUGUGCUGGGAGAAAGGAAGCCUGGAUGGUGAGAGCACCUUUGCAGAUGUGCAGCCACUUUCCUUUGAAGAAAGGAUGAAAUGUGGCCAUUUUCUGGCCUGUACUCCCUGCCAGCCUGAAGAGGCCCCCUGUCACUGCCCCCAGGGAACAUCGGGGUGGAUUGGGCUCUACAAGUGUUGCUCCGCUUCUCCCUGGGAGCAUCUCUGUGAGAAGGCAGUUGCGUGGCCUGGAGGAGGGAAGCUGUGCAGAACGAAGAUCACUGCCUCGUUUAAAUGUUUUCAUCAUCGGAACCGGCGCCUCUGUCACCUCCUCCGUGCACAGAACCGCUGCUCUGUGAGCUCUGUGUGGGUCUGUGGAUGUCGGCUCGGUGCCGUGCAGGUGCUGCUCAGCUGCCACUUGCAGGAGGAAGCGCUGGCAGGGACUGAAGGGCAGCAGAAGGACGGCUCAAUUAUUCUGUGUCAUCCACGAGGAGCUCGGCUCCUGUCGGAGUCCCAACGGAGAGCAAUGGAACGCUCUGCUUUUGAAGCCCUGGGAACAUGGAGGUGUGGCCCUGAGCAGAGGAGCUGGACAGGAACACUUCUCUCACAUUGUCCUCAGUGA